This 512-nucleotide ribosomal RNA is filed under the name uncultured bacterium. RNAcentral's name for it is "partial 16S ribosomal RNA". It matches the Rfam family "Bacterial small subunit ribosomal RNA", at positions 28 to 523 of the family's 1533-position model. The record is from RNAcentral.
GACGAACGCUGGCGGCGUGCCUAAUACAUGCAAGUCGAGCGAAUCACUGGGAGCUUGCUCCCGGUGGUUAGCGGCGGACGGGUGAGUAACACGUGGGCAACCUGCCUGUAAGACUGGGAUAACACCGGGAAACCGGUGCUAAUACCGGAUAAUUCUUUUCUGCACAUGCAGGAAAGCUGAAAGUCGGUUUCGGCUGACACUUACAGAUGGGCCCGCGGCGCAUUAGCCAGUUGGUGAGGUAACGGCUCACCAAGGCGACGAUGCGUAGCCGACCUGAGAGGGUGAUCGGCCACACUGGGACUGAGACACGGCCCAGACUCCUACGGGAGGCAGCAGUAGGGAAUCUUCCACAAUGGACGAAAGUCUGAUGGAGCAACGCCGCGUGAGCGAUGAAGGCCUUCGGGUCGUAAAGCUCUGUUGUUAGGGAAGAACAAGUACCGGAGUAACUGCCGGUACCUUGACGGUACCUAACCAGAAAGCCACGGCUAACUACGUGCCAGCCGCCGCGGUAA